AGUGAACGCUGGCGGUAGGCCUAACACAUGCAAGUCGAACGGCAGCACAGUAAGAGCUUGCUCUUACGGGUGGCGAGUGGCGGACGGGUGAGGAAUACAUCGGAAUCUACUUUUUCGUGGGGGAUAACGUAGGGAAACUUACGCUAAUACCGCAUACGACCUACGGGUGAAAGCAGGGGAUCUUCGGACCUUGCGCGAUUGAAUGAGCCGAUGUCGGAUUAGCUAGUUGGCGGGGUAAAGGCCCACCAAGGCGACGAUCCGUAGCUGGUCUGAGAGGAUGAUCAGCCACACUGGAACUGAGACACGGGCCAGACUCCUACGGGAGGCAGCAGUGGGGAAUAUUGGACAAUGGGCGCAAGCCUGAGCCAGCCAUACCGCGUGGGUGAAGAAGGCCUUCGGGUUGUAAAGCCCUUUUGUUGGGAAAGAAAAGCAGCAGGUUAAUACCCCGCUGUGCUGACGGUACCCAAAGAAUAAGCACCGGCUAACUUCGUG
This 492-nucleotide ribosomal RNA is filed under the name uncultured bacterium. RNAcentral's name for it is "partial 16S ribosomal RNA". It matches the Rfam family "Bacterial small subunit ribosomal RNA", at positions 29 to 507 of the family's 1533-position model. The record is from RNAcentral.